CACACUCUCACCCCUCGCCCAUCUCACCCCCUCGUCCAAACCCUAGCUUUCCUCGCGCCGCACCCGAGCCGUGCCUCCUUCCCUCUGCACGCUGCCACAGCUCGCCGCCGACGGCCUCCACUUCUCUCCCACCCGCCUCUCUCCCACCCCAGACGGAUCGCCCAACACAUCCAUCUCUCCUCUCCUGCAACUCCUCUCUCUCUCCCCGCACUUCACAGCGACAACAAGCACUCCUAGAUCCCUCCGGAUGCCGGACUUGGAGGAGUGUGUGCAGCCCAAGCCCGCUGACCCGUCCGCCCCGCCCCCCGCCGCCGGUAGAAGAUGGAGGCCCCGGGCUCCCCCUAUGCCUCCUCGCCCUAGUCCGCGCCCAAGCGCGCACCCCUCUCCUCCCCGCUGCCCCCGCAGGACCGCCCCAACGCCGACCACGACGCCGCCAAGCCCGAAGAGAAGCUGCAACCUGCAGAAUGCAAGAAAGGGCUGAUGUGUGUUGCGUCCUCGCCAUUUCUGGACAUCAAGGUUCUUGUCAUCGUCCUAUGUGAGCUGCGAACAGCUCAUCCAUCCCACCAACCCUGAUAAUUUUUAUAUAUGCUUGCUAUGGGUUUCCAUUCAAAGCUAUUAGGUCGAUAACUGCUAUCUUAUUCAGUUUUUUUCUUCCCUGUAUCUAUCAAGCUUAGUCAUGUUUACACAUAGCUUCAGUAAAUGGCAUUGUAUAUGUUUUUCUCAGUAAAUGCAAGACAUUGUAUUCAACAAUAAUCUCCUAUGUAUGCCAUGAGCAUGUGAAUAGCUCAAUCCUGUUGUCUUUGUGCAUAGUGCUUACUGCCUAGAUGUUCUCAAUUUACAAAGGGUUUUGGGAGUACUUGCCUGUUGCAAAUGGAUGGGCCUGUUGUUAGUUGCAUGAGUCUGACACUCCAGUGAUUUCUAACUUAGACACUUGUAUUUAUGCAACUUUACCAACAAUUUUGUUUGCAACAACAUUAUGCACAUGAGGCAGGACUAUACAAGUGAAUUGUCGCAGUAAGGUCCUUCCAUGGAUUUCAUGUGGCUCCUUGAGUUGUAAGAUGCAGCUCCAACAUUGAAUAUAUUUUGAAUGUUUCCAAAAAUACUCUCUGUUACGUUUACUUCAAUAUAUACAUGCAUGUUACUGAUAGAAGCUGGCUGCAGGAAUCUGUACACAUAUAUACUCUCUUGGACAGUGCAUUACUAGAUCACUCACUAGGCAUUAUGUAAUACUACUAGGAGAUAUGGGUGAGGGACUAAAAGGAUGACAUGCUUCCAUGAAUUUAUUUGUAAGAAGUUUUUCUUGGUUGUGUACAAAUCAACCCAUACUGUCAUCACAUUGCGUGUUCUUGCUGCAUAUACCUCUCUAUUUGCUUAGGCAAACAACUACUUAUGUAAUAUGCAAACAACAACAACAUAGCUAGUGAUGCUAAUUCUACCUCUUGUUACAAAAUCAGAAUUCCUCUUGUUGCACAUGACAACUCCGUUUCCUCUUGUUACAGAAUCAGAAUUCCUCUGCUUCUUAUGCUACUCUGCUAGAACUCUGCUUUUCUACUUGUCAUAUUGAAUAUACAUGUUCUAAACAUUAUACAGUACUUUUGUUGUUAACUCCAAACAACUUGGGAUCUUCUCUUCUGCAUGCAGCAACUGGCUUACCAGUACGCCGCCAAGGGGGCAUGCCUUGCCCUGGUAGCAAGGAGGGGGCAUACAUUGCCCUGCAGACAGCAAGGGUGACUAGUGAUAUUCAGUUUUUUGUGUGUGUUUUCUACACACACACACACAUGGUCCUUCCUUUUAAAUCUCCUCUGCUGCUUACUGACAGAGUACUAUGCACGUACAGUAGUUGAGUAGUAGUGUGUAGGUUAUGGCAGUAGUGUGCUCUCACGUUGCAUAAAAUUCUGGUAUUGCGUUCAUAUAGCUAAUAUGCUGCUGUUGUGCAUAAAAUUCCAGGAUCUUUGCAUGUAAGUUCUGGCUGUAGUGUGCUCUCCCGUUGUACAUGCCCCUAUCUUUAGUAAGAUUAAAUUGCUACUAUUAAUGACGAAUGGUUGAGUUUUAAAACUUGAAGCAACACCUACUUUCUGGUCUUGUAGUGUUUAAAACUGAUAAUUAUGAUGCAUUGGUCGGCCAUAUGGCCUUGUUUUUUAAUGCACAUAUAUAUAUAUAUAUAUAUAUGAUGUAGUUGAUAGGCCUUGAUAUCAACCUGUCAAGUUUAUGUUCCCUGGUGUGUAGGUAACUAUUCAUUUUUUGGCAAGCCUAUAAUGAAUUUAUUAGAAUUUUGCUCCUAUUGCUGUGUACUGUAUGAAGCAAAAAGGUCUAUAUUAGUGAGGAUGUAAAUGUAGAAGUAUAGAAACCAUAAAUUCAAGCUUCUGUUGUAGCAUGCUCAAUAUAUAAGGUUAUAGAAUAGUGUUCUACAAAAGGUUGAAACACCAUGGUCUCAGUCAUUUAUAGGAAGUAGAAACACUAAGGCUGACAUGCACUUCACUGUUUCAUUCGUUUUUUCUAAUUUAAUUUUCUGGAUAGUAAAUUUGCGAUUGUACGCCCUUUGUGAAAAAAUUGCAUUUUACGUUUCCAUGCCAUACAAUGUUGAAGCACGGUUCUCUGAUAUUCUGCGCCACUGAAAGGGUGAUAUCUUGUAUAAAUUUGGCUUUUGGCAGGUAAUCCUUUUCCCUGCCAUGUUCAGGUGCAUCACUCUGAUGCCGAUGAAGGGUGAGAUCUUGGUCGACACUAUGGAGAAGACCCUGAAGCCUGGUGUGUUCCUCAAAUCGGGACUGAUAGAAACCGAAGGGCCACUCGAAGCCGUCAAAGGGCACUUGUAGAUCUUGUGGUUGUGAUUACACUUGUAGAGACUUGUAGAGCUUGUGGCUGUGAUUACCAUUGUAUCUAAGUUAUAUGAUGUAACAGACUUAUUUUGGCUGUUAUUUGAAGUAUUAUCUGUGCUUUCUGGUUGUUUUGAUUUGAA
This is a long non-coding RNA of Triticum urartu, 2956 nucleotides long. RefSeq lists it as uncharacterized. NCBI's taxonomy places the organism in Eukaryota, Viridiplantae, Streptophyta, Magnoliopsida, Poales, Poaceae. The record is from RefSeq and is a predicted model, not a curated record.